GGCUCAGAACGAACGCUGGCAGCGUGGAUUAGGCAUGCAAGUCGAACGGGAAGCCUUGAUCUCAAUCUUCGGAGAGAAAUCAAGGUGGAGAGUGGCGAAAGGGUGAGUAACGCGUGAGCAAUCUGCCCUUAAGUUCGGGACAACUUCGCGAAAGUGGAGCUAAUACCGGAUGUGGUACCCCAACGCAUGUUGGGAUUACUAAAGGUGGGGAUCCUUCGGGACCUGCCGCUUAGGGAGGAGCUCGCGUCCCAUCAGCUUGUUGGUAGGGUAAUGGCCUACCAAGGCAUACGGGUAGCCGGCCUGAGAGGGUGAUCGGCCACACUGGGACUGAGACACUGCCCAGACUCCUACGGGAGGCUGCAGUCGAGGAUCAUUCGCAAUGCGCGAAAGCGUGACGAUGCGACGCUGCGUGGAGGAUGACGGCCUUCGGGUUGUAAACUCCUGUCAUAAGGGAAAAGACACCGGCGGGUUAAUAACCCAUCGGUUCGAUGGUACCUUAAGAGGAAGCCACGGCUAACUCUGUGCCAGCAGCCGCGGUAAUACAGAGUGGCGAGCGUUGUUCGGAUUUACUGGGCGUAAAGGGUGCGUAGGUGGCACUGUAUGUCGGAUGUGAAAGCCUGGGGCUCAACUCCAGAAUUGCAUUCGAAACUGCAGAGCUAGAGUACAGGAUGGGAGAGCGGAAUUCUUGGUGUAGCGGUGAAAUGCGUUGAUAUCAAGAAGAACACCGGUGGCGAAGGCGGCUCUCUGGAAUGUUACUGACACUGAGGCACGAAAGCUGGGGGAGCAAACAGGAUUAGAUACCCUGGUAGUCCCAGCCGUAAACGGUGUGAACUUGGUGUAGGGGGUAUUGACCCCCCCUGUGCCGGAGCUAACGCGUUAAGUUCACCGCCUGGGGAGUACGGCCGCAAGGUUAAAACUCAAAGAAAUUGACGGGGGCCCGCACAAGCGGAGGAGCAUGUGGCUUAAUUCGAUGCAACGCGAAGAACCUUACCUGGGUUUGACAUCCGAGGGGCUUGCCCCUAAUACGUGAAAGCGUACUAACGAGACAGGUGCUGCAUGGCUGUCGUCAGUUCGUGCCGUGAGGUGUUGGGUUAAGUCCCGCAACGAACGCAACCCUUGUGUUUAGUUGCCACCCCCGAGUAAUCGGGGCGCACUCUAGACAGACUGCCCGUACAAGCGGGAGGAAGGUGGGGAUGACGUCAAGUCCGUAUGGCCCUUACAUCCAGGGCUGCACACGUGCUACAAUGGCCGGUACAGAGGGCCGCAAUACCGCGAGGUGGAGCAAAUCCCUAAAAGCCGGCCCCAGUUCGGAUUGGAGUCUGCAACUCGACUCCAUGAAGUCGGAUUCGCUAGUAACGGCGUAUCAGCUACGACGCCGUGAAUACGUUCCCGGGCCUUGUACACACCGCCCGUCACAUCAUGGAAGUUGUCUGCACCCGAAGUCAUUGAGCCAACCAUUUACUUGGAGGCAGGUGCCUAAGGUGUGGGUAAUAACUGGGAUGAAGUCGGAACAAGGUA
This 1518-nucleotide ribosomal RNA is filed under the name metagenome. Its description in RNAcentral is "bacterial SSU rRNA". It matches the Rfam family "Bacterial small subunit ribosomal RNA". The record is from RNAcentral.